UCUCCAGCUGUUUUUUGACUACAACUCCCAUCCCUGGCUAGUAGGACAAGUGGUCAGGAGUGAUGGGAAUUGUAGUCCAAAAACAGCUGGAGA
This is a non-coding RNA of Podarcis lilfordi (Lilford's wall lizard), 93 nucleotides long. The record is from the annotation of a GenBank genome assembly. NCBI's taxonomy places the organism in Eukaryota, Metazoa, Chordata, Lepidosauria, Squamata, Lacertidae.